This 408-nucleotide ribosomal RNA is filed under the name uncultured microorganism. RNAcentral describes it as "bacterial SSU rRNA". It matches the Rfam family "Archaeal small subunit ribosomal RNA", at positions 330 to 745 of the family's 1478-position model. The record is from RNAcentral.
GUGCACCAGUCGCGAAACUUUACAAUGUGCGAAAGCACGAUAAGGGAACUCUGAGUGCCUCCUAAGGAGGCUGUUCUGAUGUCUAAAAGCAACAGAAGUAAGGGCUGGGUAAGACCGGUGCCAGCCGCCGCGGUAACACCGGCAGCCCAAGUGGUAGCCACGUUUAUUGGGUCUAAAGCGUUCGUAGCCGGGCCAGGUAAGUUCCUUGGUAAAUUUAGCCGCUUAACGGUUAAGCUUUCAGGGAAUACUGCUUGGCUUGGGACUGGGAGAGGUCAGAGGUACUCCGGGGGUAGGGUGAAAUCUAUUAAUCCCUGGGGGACCACCGGUAGCGAAGGCGUCUGACCAGACCAGGUCCGACGGUGAGGGACGAAGGCUAGGGGCGCGAACCGGAUUAGAUACCCCUGUAGU